RNAcentral lists this ribosomal RNA (256 nucleotides) under uncultured bacterium. RNAcentral describes it as "partial 16S ribosomal RNA". It matches the Rfam family "Bacterial small subunit ribosomal RNA", at positions 524 to 777 of the family's 1533-position model. The record is from RNAcentral.
UACGGAGGAUCCAAGCGUUAUCCGGAUUUAUUGGGUUUAAAGGGUGCGUAGGCGGAAUGAUAAGUCAGUGGUGAAAGCCUGCAGCUUAAACUGCAGAACUGCCAUUGAUACUGUCAAUCUUGAGUACAUUUUGAUGUGGGCGGAAUGUGUCAUGUAGCGGUGAAAUGCUUAGAUAUGACACAGAACACCGAUUGCGAAGGCAGCUCACAAAACUGUAACUGACGCUGAGGCACGAAAGCGUGGGUAUCAAACAGGG